GGCAGCAUGGUGUAGUGGUGUGAGUGUUGGACUAGGAUUCUAGGAGUCCAAGGUUCAAAUCCCUGCUCAUCCA
Phrynosoma platyrhinos (Desert horned lizard) is the source of this 73-nucleotide non-coding RNA. Lineage: Eukaryota; Metazoa; Chordata; Lepidosauria; Squamata; Phrynosomatidae. The record is from the annotation of a GenBank genome assembly.